Sinocyclocheilus rhinocerous is the source of this 323-nucleotide long non-coding RNA. RefSeq lists it as uncharacterized. The transcript is spliced from 4 exons. The record is from RefSeq and is a predicted model, not a curated record. Lineage: Eukaryota; Metazoa; Chordata; Actinopteri; Cypriniformes; Cyprinidae.
AAGAGGGAAGUCGAGAUCUUGAAAAGUCUGGAGCAUGGAUAUAUUGUUACUUAUGCGGAUUUAUGUGAAGAUAAAGAAGCAGGACUCUUUUGUAUUGUGAUGGAGUAUUGUGCAGGAGGAAAUCUUUACCAGAGGAUGAAAGCACAGAAAGAGAGAGGGUUUUUUGAAGAACAGCAGAUUCUUGACUGGUUUGUUCAGAUUUGUCUGGCUCUGCAGUAUAUUCAUGAGAGGAAUAUUCUUCACAGAGAUAUAAAACCACAGAAUGUUUUUCUGACUGAGGAUGGUUACAUCAAUCUUGGAGAUUUUGGAUGCUCAAAAGCAUU